Molecule: long non-coding RNA, 1986 nt
Organism: Equus caballus (horse)
Lineage: Eukaryota; Metazoa; Chordata; Mammalia; Perissodactyla; Equidae
Source: Ensembl
AGCACGUAAAAAAACUAUAGCUUAUUGUAUAUUUAUUUUGUCACUAAGCAUAUUGCUAAUACAUUUAAUAGGUUUAAAACUUUGCCAUUAUCUUGACGAGAUCCAACAUUUGUUGUUUCCUGUAUUGUUAGUUAUAGCCAUUCUGACUGGAGUGAGAUGAUGCUACUCAGCCGUAAGAAAUGAUGAAAUCCGGACAUUUGUGACAACAUGGAUGGACCUUGAGGGUAUUAGGCUGAGUGGAAUAAGUCAGAGAGAGAAAGUCAAAUACCACAUGAUCUCACUCAUAGGUAGAAAAUAAAAACAAUGACAAACAAACACAUAGCAACAGAGGUUGGAUUGGUGGUUACCAUAGGGGAAGGGGGAAGGGAGGAGGGCAGAGUGGGGGAUUAAGCACACAUGAGUGGUAAUGCACUAUAAUUAGUGUUUGGUUGGUGAACAUGAUGUAAUCUACACAGAAUUCGAAAUAUAUUAUGAUGUGGCCGGCCUGGUGAAGCAUCAGUUAAGUUCCCACAUUUGGCUUCUUGGCGGCUCAGGGUUCGCCGGUUCAGAUCCCGGGUGUGGAUAUGGCACCGCUUGGCACACCAUGCUGUGGUAGGCAUCCCACAUAUAAAGUAGAGGAAGAUGGGCAUGGAUGUUAGCUCAGGGCCAGUCUUCCUCAGCGAAAAGAGGAGGAUUGGUAGCAGUUAGCUUCGGGCUAAUCUUCCUCAAAAAACGAAAAACGAAAAACAAAAAACUUUUAUCUAUGGGCAAAGUACACAUGAGAGAAGACAAAAGCCUCAGAUGCAUAGUAUUUCUUUUUAAUUCUCCUCAUGAAUUAUUUUACCAAAGAUAAAUUGAUAUAAACAUCUCUGUGCUUAAAAUCAUUUAUUCUUUCUUUCUUCCUAAUAUAUUUGGAAUAUAUUCCAAUUAUUGACCAAUCAUUAUGCGCUUGUAACUAGGCUAAGUGCCAAGCUUACAAGGUUAUAUAUGAGUAAAUCCUUGCCCAUAGUGUAUGUCAGAUAUAACAGACUUAUGAGACAAGUCUUUUGGUAAUAUAGAACAAGUUACCCUGUGAGAUAACUUAUGUAUGCAUGCUCUUCUGUUCUUCAAAAUAUUGGAACUCAGACACCAUUAUAUUUCUUUUCAGUUUCCGGCUUUUUGUUUGGAGAUUCAUAAAAGUUGACUUAGAACAUGUUGCUCAUUGUAAUACCAACCAGGUCUAAAUUAAAUUGCAGUGUUUUCAACUGUUACUGAAUAGUGACAUACCCUACAUCUUUCUUCUUGACCUUUGUGCAAUAAUAAAACAUCCCGUCUCCCUGGCCCUUUUACUUUCAUAGUUUUCUCUUCUUUUAGCUCCUUAGGGCACUUUUCCAGACCACCUCAAGUUUCCAAAUAGAAGUGGGUGAUUUAGGCAUAACAGCACCUGACAGCAGUAGAGAAACAGUCUUUCUUAAAGAAUUUAUGGAUUUUUCAGAAUGCUAUCUGGGAUGCCACCACUGCCCACAUCACUGAUUCAUGAGUUCAUCUUUGGCAAGACAGCCACAGAAUUACAUUUCUACGGAGAACUGAUAACUUCGUGAGGGGAGAAGGUUAGCCUGUCACAGGGUGAAUAUCAUACAACAUAAAGCCCAAAUGCUAUCACGGUAUAAAAAGUCAUCAAGUAUUUUACAAAAUGAGGUUCUUGCUGCUUGGAUUCCAUCAGGCAGCAAUUUGUACUCUGAUUACCUAAAGUUGCUUGUCUGUCUCACAGCAUUUGCCUGCCUGUAGUUUAUCAGUUUUCCUCUAAAGGGGAUUUAAUAUUCUGUCAAUUUCCCCAUUGUUUAUGGCACUGUUUUUGCAGAUAGUAUCUGAAAAUAAACAAAAAAUCUGACCAAAAAGUAAUGUCAAUCUGUCUUUGCCUUUUUGCAGAAUUUCCUAAGGUCUAUAAAACCUUCCAGCAAUUGAUGACAUGAGAACAGAUUCGGAUCUCUGUGUUUGUGUCUCAUAAUUUUGUAAACAUUACUUCAA